GCAGCCGCGGUUAAACCAAGAUGAUCAAAUUAUAUAACUUCGGUAAAAAAACAGUUAAAUUAAAUUUAUGUUUAUUAAACUUCUAUAGAAAAGUAAAAUUUAAUCAUAGACAGGAAAUUCAACUUAAGCUCAGAUAUUGAAGCUGUGAAAGCCUCGAGGGAAACUGGGAUUAGAUACCCCAUUAUUCUUGGAUGUAAAUUAAUUCUUAUUUACCAGAGUACUAUGAAUUAAAUAUUUAAAACUUAAAGGGCUUGGCGGUGUUUUAGACCCCUCAGGGGAACCUGUCUCGUAAUCGACAGUCCACGAUAAACCUAACCCUUUUUUGUAUAUCAGCUUGUAUACCGUCGUCGUCAGGUAACUUUUUAGAAGAAAGAAGUUAGCAAAAAAAUGAAAUAAAUUUUCACGUCAGAUCAAGGUGCAGCUAAUAAAAGGGGGAGGAUGGGUUACAAUUACAAAAUUGUAAUAACGAAAAGUUCUUUGAAAUAAGAAUAGGAAGGAGGACUUGAAAGUAAGAUAAAAUAUAUAAAUGUUCUGAAUAAGGCUCUGAAACGUGCACACAUCGCCC
Molecule: ribosomal RNA, 565 nt
Rfam family: Microsporidia small subunit ribosomal RNA